RNAcentral lists this unclassified non-coding RNA (337 nucleotides) under soil metagenome. RNAcentral describes it as "partial contains 5.8S ribosomal RNA, internal transcribed spacer 2, and large subunit ribosomal RNA". The stretch from base 1 to 119 matches the Rfam family "5.8S ribosomal RNA", at positions 35 to 154 of the family's 154-position model. The record is from RNAcentral.
GAUGAAAACGCAGCGAAAUGCGAUAAGUAGUGUGAAUUGCAGAAUUCAGUGAAUCAUCGAAUCUUUGAACGCACAUUGCGCCCUUUGGUAUUCCUUAGGGCAUGCCUGUUCGAGCGUCAUUUGAAACCUCAAGCUCAGCUUGGUGUUGGGUGUCUGUCCCCGCCUCACCGCGGGGACUCGCCUCAAAAUCAUUGGCGGCCGGUACGUUGGCUUCGAGCGCAGCAGAAACGCGAACUCGAGGCCCGGCGGAUCGGCGACCAGAAGUCACUUCUUCACAGUUUGACCUCGGAUCAGGUAGGGAUACCCGCUGAACUUAAGCAUAUCAAUAAGCGGAGGA